This is a long non-coding RNA of Hordeum vulgare subsp. vulgare (domesticated barley), 408 nucleotides long. RefSeq lists it as uncharacterized. Lineage: Eukaryota; Viridiplantae; Streptophyta; Magnoliopsida; Poales; Poaceae. The record is from RefSeq and is a predicted model, not a curated record. The transcript has 3 exons.
CGCCCGACGCCAUCCGCCACCCCCGCUCGCCACGUCCCUGUCCAGGAAGAAGCCCGCCGGCGCGAGUUACAGUUUUGUUGAGAAGACAAAGCAUGUGAGAUUGAUGUUUUAAAUCAGCGAGGGGACUUGUGUCUUCGUCAUUGUUCGUAACGCUUCGUCAAGAAUAAUUGAAGCUUCAGUAGCGACGCCUCCAGCGCCUGGAAGAAGAAGGUCCUGGUCUUGUCGCUGUUGCUCUUCUGCAAGUUGCUCCUCCUCCGCCCGGAGCUGCUGCUGGUCGUGGUGGUGGACGCCGGCUGCUGCUGGUCGUGGUGGUGUUCUACGACUUUGCUUCCACCGCUGCUGCUGGUGGCCAACGCCGACGCCCUCCGAUCCCCGCCAUUGACCCCCGAGGCAUCCACCUCUGCUCGU